This is a long non-coding RNA of Amphiprion ocellaris (clown anemonefish), 1066 nucleotides long. RefSeq lists it as uncharacterized. The transcript has 2 exons. Lineage: Eukaryota; Metazoa; Chordata; Actinopteri; Pomacentridae. The record is from RefSeq and is a predicted model, not a curated record.
UCUUUGCGUGUCUGAAACCGGGGCGCAUUUGUUGCGUUUUUGGAGCAUUUCUUUGUCUUUGUAUCUCCUCACAACUCAGCACAGGAUCCUCUCCUCCUCUUUUCCACACAUUAGGAUAUAUUUGUGAGACUAACAGGAUUAUCUUUUUUAUUCAUUUAGCUCCACUUGUAUGUUUGCAACGCUUUGUUUUUUUUAUUUAAUAGCAGAAUUGUGAAGUUGAUCUUUAUUAUUAUUAUUAUUAAUAUUAUUAUUAUUAUUAUUAUUAUUACCUAUUUUCUCUGCAGCGUGUCUGUUUUCCCUCACAGUCCAUGUAAUGGCACGGACGCACAGCGCCCCCCUGCGGAUCGCUCCCGUUUCCAUCCAAAGGAGAAAGGAACUUUUUUUCUAGUCAAGUUUUUUGCUUUCAUUAAAACAAACUUCUCUUCACUUCACAGCUCUCGGCCAUCCAAAAAGAAGCUCCGAUCGACACUCUGGACAUUUUUUCUAUCCAAAAUAAUACGCGUCUCGUCCAUUUUCAUGUUUUCUGAAUUUCGACCAACUUUCUGGCUGAUACCAGCGAUCAAGCAUAAAGAAGAGGUUGGAUGUGACUGGAAAAUCUUUAAAAGUUUCUCAACUUUUUUUUUUAAAGCUAACUUAGCAAAGAGAUGCUUACUUUGUGUACCUUCAUGUCUAAAGCUACUUUUGUGUUUCUAUAACGUGUUUUUUUUAGACUGACUGCAAAGAUGAUAAAAGAAAUAUUUUUGAGAAGCAAAUUAUUGAUCCACACUGUUUUUAUUGUGAGUACAGAUCAGCAAAGAGACCAAAAUGAACAGAAUAAAGCGAAUGAAAAGAAAUAUAAGGAAACCCAUCAUUUCUGUUGGUGCUACAAACAUUGAAUGUGCAAUAUUUUCUUCAAACAGUUGUUGGUCUGUUCUGUAUCUUUGAUUAUUGUUGCUGUUGUUUGGUGACAUAGCAGCUCAGCAUGUGGACUAAGAGUAUUUGGAAAUCCUAAAAAUGUUAUAUCCACAAGACAUGAAACAACUUCUUACUAUAUACUGAGAAAAUUAAAGUUGACUUUACACCAACA